ACACAUGCAAGUCGAACGGCAACGAGGAGAAGCUUGCUUCUCUGUCGGCGAGUGGCGAACGGGUGAGUAUAGCAUCGGAACGUGCCAAGUAGUGGGGGAUAACCAAACGAAAGUUUGGCUAAUACCGCGUAAGCUCCAAGGAGGAAAGUAGGGGACCUGAUAAGGCCUUACGCUAUUUGAUCGGCCGAUGUCGGAUUAGCUAGUUGGUGGGGUAAUGGCUCACCAAGGCAAUGAUCCGUAGCGGGUCUGAGAGGACGAUCCGCCACACUGGGACUGAGACACGGCCCAGACUCCUACGGGAGGCAGCAGUGGGGAAUUUUGGACAACGGGGGAAACCCUGAUCCAGCCAUGCCGCGUGUAUGAAGAAGGCCUUAGGGUUGUAAAGUACUUUUGUUAGGGAAGAAAAGCUAGUUUUUAAUAAAAAUUAGUGAUGACGGUACCUAAAGAAUAAGCACCGGCUAACUACGUGCCAGCAGCCGCGGUAAUACGUAGGGUGCAAGCGUUAAUCGGAAUUAUUGGGCGUAAAGCGAGUGCAGACGGUUACUUAAGCCAGAUGUGAAAUCCCCAAGCUUAACUUGGGACGUGCAUUUGGAACUGGGUGACUAGAGUGUGUCAGAGGGAGGUAGAAUUCCACAUGUAGCGGUGGAAUGCGUAGAGAUGUGGAGGAAUACCGAUGGCGAAGGCAGCUUCCUGGGAUAACACUGACGUGAGGCUCGAAA
Molecule: ribosomal RNA, 719 nt
Filed under: uncultured bacterium
Lineage: Bacteria
Description: bacterial SSU rRNA
Rfam family: Bacterial small subunit ribosomal RNA
Source: RNAcentral